GUCGAACGAAGCGCUUGAAUGGAAUAUCUUCGGAAGGAAGCUCAAGUGACUGAGUGGCGGACGGGUGAGUAACGCGUGGGUAACCUGCCUCAUACAGGGGGAUAACAGUUAGAAAUGACUGCUAAUACCGCAUAAGCACACGUGAUCGCAUGAUCGAGUGUGAAAAACUCCGGUGGUAUGAGAUGGACCCGCGUCUGAUUAGCUAGUUGGUGGGGUAACGGCCCACCAAGGCGACGAUCAGUAGCCGGCCUGAGAGGGUGAACGGCCACAUUGGGACUGAGACACGGCCCAAACUCCUACGGGAGGCAGCAGUGGGGAAUAUUGCACAAUGGGGGAAACCCUGAUGCAGCGACGCCGCGUGAAGGAUGAAGUAUUUCGGUAUGUAAACUUCUAUCAGCAGGGAAGAAAAUGACGGUACCUGACUAAGAAGCCCCGGCUAACUACGUGCCAGCAGCCGCGGUAAUACGUAGGGGGCAAGCGUUAUCCGGAUUUACUGGGUGUAAAGGGAGCGUAGACGGCAGUGCAAGUCUGAAGUGAAAGCCCGGGGCUCAACCCCGGGACUGCUUUGGAAACUGUGCAGCUAGAGUGUCGGAGAGGCAAGCGGAAUUCCUAGUGUAGCGGUGAAAUGCGUAGAUAUUAGGAGGAACACCAGUGGCGAAGGCGGCUUGCUGGACGAUGACUGACGUUG
This 688-nucleotide ribosomal RNA is filed under the name uncultured Lachnospiraceae bacterium. RNAcentral describes it as "bacterial SSU rRNA". It matches the Rfam family "Bacterial small subunit ribosomal RNA", at positions 61 to 748 of the family's 1533-position model. The record is from RNAcentral. Lineage: Bacteria; Bacillati; Bacillota; Clostridia; Lachnospirales; Lachnospiraceae.